RNAcentral lists this ribosomal RNA (90 nucleotides) under Salmonella enterica subsp. enterica serovar Enteritidis. The record is from RNAcentral. Lineage: Bacteria; Pseudomonadati; Pseudomonadota; Gammaproteobacteria; Enterobacterales; Enterobacteriaceae.
ACGUGACCCCAUGCCGAACUCAGAAGUGAAACGCCGUAGCGCCGAUGGUAGUGUGGGGUCUCCCCAUGCGAGAGUAGGGAACUGCCAGGC